Mus caroli (Ryukyu mouse) is the source of this 442-nucleotide long non-coding RNA. RefSeq lists it as uncharacterized. The record is from RefSeq and is a predicted model, not a curated record. Lineage: Eukaryota; Metazoa; Chordata; Mammalia; Rodentia; Muridae.
CGGCAAGGAGAUCUCUGAGUUCAAGGUCAUCUGGGACAAAGACUGAGCAACUGCUAGAUCCUUGGACUUCCAUUCACGGCUGCUGUUGAUCAUUGUUGGGGAGUUAGACUACUGACUGUUCGCAGGGUUGAAAAAUGGCCAGUGUGACAUCAUCAGAGCGAACUGCAGACGCCUGGUCGGCUUCCCGUGUGAGGUUGUGAGCUGACGGUGCCUGUUCCAGAAGGCAGCAGCUGCUGUGGAUCUGAGGGAGUCCCUCGCCCAAUCCAGGCCCUGCACUUCAGUAAGAAUCCUUCACAUUCAGGAAUGUGGCGGCGGAUGGACCUUGACAAAUGCCUGAGCCUGGCAGAAGCAUCCUGCCUGCUGGCCAAAGGUCUGAGCCAAGCCAGUUCCAGGAUACCGUUGAGCUGUGUCUGGGCUUCUUUCUGACACUCAGGGCAAUGGA